GGAGAGAUGGCUCAGUGGUUAUGAGCACUGACUGCUCUUCCAGAGGUCCUGAGUUCGAUUCCCAGCAACCACA
Molecule: transfer RNA, 73 nt
Filed under: Mus musculus (house mouse)
Lineage: Eukaryota; Metazoa; Chordata; Mammalia; Rodentia; Muridae
Description: tRNA-Ser
Source: RNAcentral